RNAcentral lists this ribosomal RNA (653 nucleotides) under fungal endophyte. RNAcentral describes it as "eukaryotic LSU rRNA". The stretch from base 177 to 330 matches the Rfam family "5.8S ribosomal RNA". The record is from RNAcentral. Lineage: Eukaryota; Fungi.
AUUACUGAGUUUACGCUCUAUAACCCUUUGUGAACAUACCUAUAACUGUUGCUUCGGCGGGUAGGGUCUCCGUGACCCUCCCGGCCUCCCGCCCCCGGGCGGGUCGGCGCCCGCCGGAGGAUAACCAAACUCUGAUUUAACGACGUUUCUUCUGAGUGGUACAAGCAAAUAAUCAAAACUUUUAACAACGGAUCUCUUGGUUCUGGCAUCGAUGAAGAACGCAGCGAAAUGCGAUAAGUAAUGUGAAUUGCAGAAUUCAGUGAAUCAUCGAAUCUUUGAACGCACAUUGCGCCCGCCAGCAUUCUGGCGGGCAUGCCUGUUCGAGCGUCAUUUCAACCCUCAAGCUCUGCUUGGUGUUGGGGCCCUACAGCUGAUGUAGGCCCUCAAAGGUAGUGGCGGACCCUCCCGGAGCCUCCUUUGCGUAGUAACUUUACGUCUCGCACUGGGAUCCGGAGGGACUCUUGCCGUAAAACCCCCAAUUUUCCAAAGGUUGACCUCGGAUCAGGUAGGAAUACCCGCUGAACUUAAGCAUAUCAAUAAGCGGAGGAAAAGAAACCAACAGGGAUUGCCUCAGUAACGGCGAGUGAAGCGGCAACAGCUCAAAUUUGAAAUCUGGCCCUAGGCCCGAGUUGUAAUUUGCAGAGGAUGCUUUU